GUUUAAGUAGUAUAUAUUUUACAUUAUCCUUUCUAGAUAAAAAUGUCUUUUGAUCUUAAAUA
Molecule: transfer RNA, 62 nt
Filed under: Succinea erythrophana
Lineage: Eukaryota; Metazoa; Mollusca; Gastropoda; Stylommatophora; Succineidae
Description: tRNA-Glu
Source: RNAcentral